UGGGGAAUAUUGGACAAUGGGCGAAAGCCUGAUCCAGCCAUGCCGCGUGUGUGAAGAAGGUCUUCGGAUUGUAAAGCACUUUAAGUUGGGAGGAAGGGCAGUAAGCGAAUACCUUGCUGUUUUGACGUUACCGACAGAAUAAGCACCGGCUAACUCUGUGCCAGCAGCCGCGGUAAUACAGAGGGUGCAAGCGUUAAUCGGAAUUACUGGGCGUAAAGCGCGCGUAGGUGGUUCGUUAAGUUGAAUGUGAAAGCCCCGGGCUCAACCUCGGAAAUGCAUCCAAAACUGGCGUGUUAGGGUAGGGCAGAGGGUGUUGGCAUUUCCUGUGUAGUGGUGAGAAGCGGAGAUAUAGGAAGGAACACCAGUGGCGAAGGGGCCCCCCAGUGCUCAUACUGAGACUGAGGUGCGAAAGCGUGGGGAGCAAACAGG
RNAcentral lists this ribosomal RNA (429 nucleotides) under Pseudomonadota bacterium. Its description in RNAcentral is "Proteobacteria bacterium partial 16S ribosomal RNA". It matches the Rfam family "Bacterial small subunit ribosomal RNA", at positions 355 to 776 of the family's 1533-position model. Lineage: Bacteria; Pseudomonadati; Pseudomonadota. The record is from RNAcentral.